Non-coding RNA from Camellia sinensis, 173 nucleotides. The record is from RefSeq and is a predicted model, not a curated record. NCBI's taxonomy places the organism in Eukaryota, Viridiplantae, Streptophyta, Magnoliopsida, Ericales, Theaceae.
AGCAGAAAGAAAAGUGGCGGAGAGGGAAGGUGAUGCCUGGGUUGAGGAUAAGUAGUGAAGGAUUUGCAGGCAUAGUUUUGUAUGGUUUGGUUUGGGGAGAGAGCAACACACAAACAGAGAGAGAGAGAGAGAGAGAGAGAGAGAGAGAGAGACAGAGAGAGAGAGAGAGAGGU